This 2520-nucleotide long non-coding RNA is filed under the name Homo sapiens (human). RNAcentral's name for it is "HSALNT0382632". Lineage: Eukaryota; Metazoa; Chordata; Mammalia; Primates; Hominidae. The record is from RNAcentral.
GAUAAUAGUAGGGUCCUGGUGAAGACUAAAUGAGACACUGUGUGUAAAGGGCCUGCUGCAUGGCCCUUAGUCAGCGUUGCUUGCGACGACGGUUGUUUCGUUAUUGUCACUCAGUCGCCUGAGGGGAACAUUCAGAGAGACUUAUCGGCAGGACGUGUACAAAGAGGACAGAAGAGCAGAUGCAGCCUCCAAGAAUGAGCUGCUGAGGACGAGAGAUGACAUUUUCCUUUGGCGACAUUCAACAGCUUCUUAAGGUUCCUAGACGUAGAUCUGCAGCUGUGGACUUGGAGUUUUAACCUAAGUCAAUGAGCACUUAUGGGCCUCUAAGUGGGGAAUGAACUUGGAAAACACUGAACCUAGUGUGCAGCACAUAGUAGGUACUCAUCUGCAAGCUACCUCCCUUUCUCCCUCCCUCUCUCCCUCCUCACCCUCUUCCUCAGGGAUGCAGCCAAUGACCUGAAAGAGCGUGAGCCAACGUCUGUCCAAGCUCUGGUCCUGCUUCGUGCCUGCCCUGUGAUACUGGGCAAGUUGCUCAUCCCUGGACUUCUUUCUCCUCCAUAAAACACGGCUUUGGGAGCAACUUGCUCUCCAAGGGCCAUUCCAACUCUAACAUUAUAAUUUUAUCAUAUGGGAUUUGGCAUAAUUGGUUAUCUCUGAACACUUACACUUUUUUUUUUUUUUUGAGAUGGAUUCUUGCUCUGUUGCCCAGGCUGGAGUGCAGUGGUGCAAUCUCAGCUCACUGCAAGCCCCACCUCCCGGGUUCACGCCAUUCUCCUGCCUCAGCUUCCCGAGUAGCUGGGACUACAGGCGCCCUCCACCAGGCCCAGCUAAUUUUUUUUUGUAUUUUUAGUAGAGACAGGGUUUCACCAUGUUAGCCAGGAUGGUCUUGAUCUCCUGACCUCGUGAUCCGCCCACCUCGGCCUCCCAAAGUGCUGGAACACUUAUACUUUUAAGGUAUUUGUACACAUACACGAAGCAAAACAAGAGGCAGGAGGUGCAAACAGCCCCACGAACAAAUGGUCCAGGGUGUUUAGGAGAAACCCCGCACCUUGAACCUCUCUUCUCACCCAACCUGCUUUCCAGACCUUCCUUCCCUCCUGGCUAAAUGCCCUGUAGAAGCACUAAUGUGUCUAUGUGCCUCUGGAAGCCAGGCUUUCCCUGGAAGCACAGCUGUAGUAGCUGACUACUCAUAAGACCCUAACUAUGCUGAUGUUGAUGGAAAGGGCUGAAUUCUUUGAAGCCUCAUGGUGGAAAUUUAAAGAAAAUAAUGUGAGAGCGUCACAGACAACUGCACAUUCACCACCACAAAUGGUGCCAUCCCAGAGACAAAUAUGUAAUAGUUCAGAACUUGGGAAAAUGGCCCAGGAUCGAGCCAUGCUAAGAAUGGGAGCAAUUUGGCUGAUACAUGGCUGCCCUGUGCUCCAGCAGGGGAAAAAAAAGGUUCUAAUUACCCAGCCGCAAUCCUGUAUUUAGAUGUAAAAGGGAGGAAAUAGCUGAGCUCUGUUCUAGUCACAGAUAUGCCAAACGGGUCAAGAGAAAAGCCUUCUGCCCAGACCACUGCUGAGCCCACGGCUGGCCUGGGCCCAGGCUACUCAGCCGAUGAGCUUCAGAUGGACCUCCAGAAGGCCACAGCGGCCCCACUUUAUCCUCUGCCUAUUUUGCCAGGACAUCAGCCUCAGACAAUUUCCUCCUCAAAGUUUCUUCACUCUCUUUGGUGUUCUGUUUCAUGCAAAUCUGUUGGGGAUGGGAGGAAUUAAGGACAGCGAGAUCAAAUGACAACCCCUGCCUCCUCAGUGAUUAAAAAAAAUCAGAGCUCACCCAUAUGGCAGCGGCAUUUCUGACCUGGUCCAGCAUUCCUCCCUCACCCUGUGCUUUCUGAAACUCUCAUGCAUCUUCCGAAUGUCACCUGCUGCCAUGAGGUCAGCAUGGACGAGGGUCAGCGUGGAUCUCCAGUUCUACUAGGCUGCCAAAGUAGCAGAGACAAGCUUCAAUCCGAAGAUAUUUACGACCUGACAAAUACCCCAUCUCAAGAACUUACAGAAACCUCAGCAUGGACAGCCUGGAGUGAAAGGAUGCUUACUUCCUAGGAAGGGCAUUUCUGCUUGGGAAAUGCUCAGCUGUGCCUCAGUUUCCCUUAGUCUUCCUCUGAGCUGCAGGUAAUUGAGACUGAGAGGCUUUCCACACUUCCCAGAAGGGGCAGACUUGAUGGUGCUUCCUAUCUCCACGCAAGAGCAACUAUUGUGGAUCCUCACCUCCGACAGUGCUGAUGGAAACACCCACAACUGCUCGCAGCGGGUCUGGGCUUUCCUAGUCAAUCAUUUUACUUUCAGGGCGUAGAGGUAGGAGAAUGAAACAGAUUGCACAGCACUGGUGAAAAGAAAAGGAGAAAUUCAGGGAGGAGGAAUGAGGGAUCCUCUUUCUUGUGUGUGGGUGUUAGCUUGCCUCCCAACCACACUGACACUUGCUGUGCCAUUGAUUUGACUUUUCUCCUAUCUUAACAAUAACAAAUCAUUAAAAAAU